RNAcentral lists this ribosomal RNA (560 nucleotides) under Papiliotrema laurentii. Its description in RNAcentral is "eukaryotic LSU rRNA". It matches the Rfam family "Eukaryotic large subunit ribosomal RNA", at positions 68 to 608 of the family's 3401-position model. The record is from RNAcentral. Lineage: Eukaryota; Fungi; Basidiomycota; Tremellomycetes; Tremellales; Rhynchogastremaceae.
ACAAGGAUUCCCCUAGUAACGGCGAGUGAACCGGGAAGAGCUCAAAUUUGAAAUCUGGCGUCCUCAGGGCGUCCGAGUUGUAAUCUAUAGAGGCGUUUUCCGUGCCGGACCGUGUCCAAGUUCCUUGGAACAGGAUAUCAAAGAGGGUGACAAUCCCGUACUUGACACGACGACCGGUGCUCUGUGAUACGUCUUCUACGAGUCGAGUUGUUUGGGAAUGCAGCUCAAAAUGGGUGGUGAGUUCCAUCUAAAGCUAAAUAUUGGCGAGAGACCGAUAGCGAACAAGUACCGUGAGGGAAAGAUGAAAAGCACUUUGGAAAGAGAGUUAAACAGUACGUGAAAUUGUUGAAAGGGAAACGAUUGAAGUCAGUCGUGACCGAGAGGCUCAGCCGGUUCUGCCGGUGUAUUCCCCUCGGUCGGGUCAACAUCAGUUUUGUCCGGUGGAUAAGGGCGGUAGGAAGGUGGCACCCUCGGGUGUGUUAUAGCCUGCCGUCGCAUACAUCGGGUGAGACUGAGGAACGCAGCUCGCCUUUAUGGCCGGGGUCGCCCACGUCCGAGCU